This 253-nucleotide ribosomal RNA is filed under the name uncultured bacterium. RNAcentral's name for it is "partial 16S ribosomal RNA". It matches the Rfam family "Bacterial small subunit ribosomal RNA", at positions 524 to 776 of the family's 1533-position model. The record is from RNAcentral.
UACGGAGGGGACUAGCGUUGUUCGGAAUUACUGGGCGUAAAGCGCACGUAGGCGGAUUUGUAAGUCAGGGGUGAAAUCCCGGGGCUCAACCCAGGAACUGCGUCCGAUACUGGUUGGCUUGAAUCCGGGAGAGGGAUGUGGAAUUCCAGGUGUAGCGGUGAAAUGCGUAGAUAUCUGGAGGAACACCGGUGGCGAAGGCGACAUCCUGGACCGGUAUUGACGCUGAGGCGCGAAAGCCAGGGGAGCAAACGGG